RNAcentral lists this long non-coding RNA (4218 nucleotides) under Danio rerio (zebrafish). Its description in RNAcentral is "lncRNA (ENSDARG00000117571.1)". Lineage: Eukaryota; Metazoa; Chordata; Actinopteri; Cypriniformes; Danionidae. The record is from RNAcentral.
CCAUAUUGUUUUAUCUCCUUUAUAAAAAUGUUCACGAUUUGGCUUAGCUUUGGCCCAUUUCUUCACAUGAAGAUGGUAUUUUCCAAGUAAUAUUAUUAGAGGUAUAAGAAUUAUAAGUUGUACCUUUUGAAUCAAUUCCAUCUUGUACUAAAGCAAAUAUGACAUCAUUUAAUCCACUUUGUAUUAGCAUACCAAAUGUCCUUGGUUGUUUAUCACAUUUGUUCUCUUGCAGUUGAACUGGUCAGAUUUUGGGAUGAAGUCUCAGUUCAGAUCAUCAACAAAGUUGUUUUUCUCUCUUCUUUGUGUCAUCAGUGUAAUUUCAGGCUCCCAUAUGUUCAGCUCUGUGUCUUUGAAGAGUGACCAGUCAAUAGAUCCACCAGUGAAUUUCAGUGAGGAACCACCAUUUACCAGAAGUUCUGGAUCAGGUUCAGAUGUGUCUAUGUCUGUGAAGAGUGACUGGUCAAUGGAUAAACCACCAGACAUAAGUGAGAAAACACCAUCCCCUACCAAAAGGUAUUUUGUGUAUUUUUCAUUGUAGUGUUACAUUAGCUAAUGUCUUUUUUGGUAGUUUGACAGAACUUGACUGCAUAAAACAUUGUCUCACAGAAAACAAUGUCUGUGGACUAUACGGAAAUUAGUCAAACAAAUGGAAAGACACCAGGCUACUAAAUACGAAUGCAUUCAUCUUUAGUAAUAAGGAAUUCAAAAUGUUUUAAUAUAAAAUUAGAAAAUUAGAACAGGUUUUAAAGUAUUUACAUUUGUUAUUAAAUGUUGCUGGUUUUGGUAUCCCAAUCCUGCUACUUGAAACAAACACAUUUUGCUUUUUAUUCAAUCCAAUUCACCUUUAUUUUGUAUACCACUUUUACAAUGUAGAUUGUGUCAAAGCAGCUUCACAUAGAAGAUCCUAGUAAAUUGAAACAGUGUAGUUCAGAUUUCAGAGUUUAAGUUCAGUUUAACCCAGAUUAGUGUGGUUUAAUAAUCACUACUGAGAGUCAAACACUGAAGAGCAAAUCCAUCAAUGCGCUGCUUUACAAAUCCCGAACCAUGCAAACCAGUGGUGACAGCGGCGAGGAAAAAACUUCACCAAUUGGCAAAAGUGAAGUAUUAAAAAAAUCUUGAGAGAAACCAGGCUCUGUUGGCCACGACCAUUUUUUAUCUGGCCAAACGUCUUGUGCAGAGCUGCAGUCAAGGCGUCGGAGGCUGGAAGCUGAACCCCAGCAAAGACUAGUCUGUCCCUGGAGCAUCACAGAAGUCUCAUGCUCUCCGCUCCUCCAUGACCACCACAGCUGCUGCUCAGGAUACGGUCUGGUCCAGGAUUAUGGAAACCUUCAUCUUGUCGCUGGUCUUGGAUCGAAUCAGUGGCGGUGCAUACUCUGAGGGCCUCGGUAUGAGUAUCCCCAGGUGGGAAUAGAGAAUAAAGAGAAUAAUUAGCGUAGCUGCUGUUCAUAGUGUAUAUGAACAACAUGCACAAACCUGCGUGGAACACAUUCAUGUAUCAUACAGCUAAGUGAUGCACUGAGUGUAUGCUUUACUAAACAGAUAGGUCUUUAAUGUAGUUUUGAAUUGGGAGAGUGUGUCUGAGCCUCAGAAAUUAUCAGGAAUUCUAUUUCAGAUUUUAGGGGCUAUAAAUGAGAGGGCUUGACCUCCUUCACUCGACUUUGCUAUUCUAGGUACUACCAGAAGCCCUGAGUUUUGAGAUCUUAUAGAGCGGGUUGGAUUGUAGCGAGACAGAAGGUUGGUUAGAUAAACAGAAGCUAGAUUAUUUAAAGCUUUAUAGGUGAGAAGCAAUAUUUUAAAUUCAAUAUGAAACUUAUCAGGCAGCCACUGUAAGGAGGAUAAAAUUGGAGUGAUAUCAUCAUAUUUUCUAGACCUGGUUACUCUGGCUGCUGCAUUUUGUACUUAUUGAAGUUUAUUAAUAGAGGAUGCUGGGCAGCCAGCAAAUAAAGCAUUACAGUAAUCCAGCCUUGUAGUCAUAAUAGCAUGGACUAGCUUUUCUGCAUCAGAGAUGGAUAGCAUACUUCGUAACUUCACGAUAUUUAUCAGAUGAAAGAAGGCAGUUUUUGUCACAUUGGACAUAUGAUUUUCAAAAGUUAAAUUGCUGUCUAAUAUGACACCCAGAUCUUUAUAGUAGAGUUAAUGCUAACUUUGUAUUAUACUUUUAAUCUUGUCAAGUAAAAGGUUAUCUUGUGUAAAAGAGCUAGCAUUAAAUGUAAUUGAAUACAUGACCAGUGCUUGAGCAUGACUUGCAGUCUGUCGGUAUCCACAACUGAUUUUUGUCAAAAGGUGAAGGUGUUCAAAAUUUUUGAAAGUGGCUACUUCAUAAUUCUCCUUGUAGGAAAACCCUGCUUAUAACCACCUUCUGUUUUUGUCUUCACUUGAACCAUUGUCACUUGUCAGUCUAAAACCUUUGUGAUGUACAUGUAGUAACAUGAUAAGUUUAUACUUUAAACAUAAAGUGAGCUAAGAACACCCCUAGUAUAAGUAUAGUAAACAAUAUUUUAACUCACUUUCUUUCAGCUUAGUCCCUGAUUCAUCAGAGGAUGCCACAUCUAAUGCUUUCUGUGUUAAGUAGAAUUUUUUAUAAUGUUUUGACAAGAAAUUCAGUAUUUUAUUUGUUAACAGGAUUCAGUAUGAAGCAUUGGAUUCAGACUUUCUGCCUGACAGGAACCAAAAGAAUUUCAAAGGCAAUCUCCAAGGGAUCUUCCGGGUAGGAAAAAUAACAUUUUAUGUUUAAAAUGUUUAAGGAAAUGUUGUGUGUAUAAUACAUGUUUUGGGACAAAGGUUUUUAUUUCGGUUAUAUUGAAUUCUUUUUCCAUUAGUAUUAAUUUAAUAUAACAAUUAUUUAUUUUGUAAAAAAAAAAAAAAAAAAAAAAAAAGGUUAAGAAAUAUAUCUAUUGCUGUUUUGUUUGUGUUGGCGAGUGGUGGAUUUUAAAUGUGGUUGAAUUUCAGGUGUUGUCUUUCUAACAUUGAUAUUUACAUUUUUCAAAAGUAAUUAAAAAAAUCCAGAUUAGAACUUUGUGGAAUUAAGGAAAAGGGAAAUAAAAUAUUUUUUUGUGGAAAGGUACUUCUGCAAAAGAUGAGGUUUCAACAGUUUCUCAACAGUUUCAACAAACCAUCGUUAUACAAUAACUUGCCUAAUUAUCCUAACCUGCCUAGUUACCCUAAUUAGCCUAGUUAAGCCUUUAAAUGUCACUUUAAGCUGUAUAGAAGUUUCUUGAAAAAUAUUUAGUCAAAUAUUAUUUACUAUCAUCAUGACAAAGAUAAAAUAUUAUUAGAAAUUAGUUAUUAAAACUAUUAUGUUUACAAAGGUGUUGAAAAAAAUCUGCUCUCCGUCAAACAGAAAUGGUGGGGAAAAUAAAAAGGGGGACUAAUAAUUCUGACUUAAACUGUAUUCACAAACAAGUGAAAAUUUGUCGUUUUCGCGUUAUUUUGGGCAAGUUCUUUCUUUCGUUUUGAAAAUAUGUUUUUAAGCUGCAUCAUGGCGAUAUAAUCAAGCAAAUGAUGCUUAAAAAAAAGCGAAAGUCUGCAGCAUAAGGCUUCUCUUGAUGAAUGUCAAAGUUACCCACAAGGAAAUGAGAAUAGCAGCACAUUGAGGUCCACAUCCAUACAUACACAAUAUUGCUGUUGGGUGUGAAGGCCUGGUCUCUACUUCAGUUCAUCCAGACCAUGGGUGCUCAAUCCUGUUUCUGGAGAUCUACCUUCCUGCAGAUUUCAGUUGCUACCCAUAUAAAACACACCUGAACCAAUUAAUUAGGACCUGAACACCACUUGAUAAUUACAGGCAGGUGUGUUUGAUAUGGGUAGCAACUGAAAUCUGCAGGAAGGUAGAUCUCCAGGAACAGGAUUGAGCACCCCUGAUCCAGACAUUUAGUUCUAUCAGGUUAAGGUCAGGAGUCUGUGCAGGCUAGUCAAGAGCAUGAAAUUGUCCAAAGCUGAAGCAUACCAAGACAUAUUACAUGUUUCAUUGGAACUAAGGGUUGGCUGUACCCUUAAUAAACAACCCCACAUCAUAAUCCCUUCUCCAUCAAACACAAUGCAUUCAGGCAAUUACGGUUCUCCUGGCAAAUCCCAAACCCAGACUUGUCCGUGGAAUUGGCAGACAAAAAAGCGGGAUCUCCAGAGAUCACCUCUCCACUGCUCUAGAGUAGUGUUUUUUUUUAUUAUUAAAGCUACAACGCACUUUUAUUAACACUAUUCCAGAGAGCUCCAUUAUCAGCA